This 1552-nucleotide ribosomal RNA is filed under the name Staphylococcus aureus. RNAcentral's name for it is "16S ribosomal RNA". It matches the Rfam family "Bacterial small subunit ribosomal RNA". Lineage: Bacteria; Bacillati; Bacillota; Bacilli; Caryophanales; Staphylococcaceae. The record is from RNAcentral.
UUUAUGGAGAGUUUGAUCCUGGCUCAGGAUGAACGCUGGCGGCGUGCCUAAUACAUGCAAGUCGAGCGAACGGACGAGAAGCUUGCUUCUCUGAUGUUAGCGGCGGACGGGUGAGUAACACGUGGAUAACCUACCUAUAAGACUGGGAUAACUUCGGGAAACCGGAGCUAAUACCGGAUAAUAUUUUGAACCGCAUGGUUCAAAAGUGAAAGACGGUCUUGCUGUCACUUAUAGAUGGAUCCGCGCUGCAUUAGCUAGUUGGUAAGGUAACGGCUUACCAAGGCAACGAUGCAUAGCCGACCUGAGAGGGUGAUCGGCCACACUGGAACUGAGACACGGUCCAGACUCCUACGGGAGGCUGCAGUAGGGAAUCUUCCGCAAUGGGCGAAAGCCUGACGGAGCAACGCCGCGUGAGUGAUGAAGGUCUUCGGAUCGUAAAACUCUGUUAUUAGGGAAGAACAUAUGUGUAAGUAACUGUGCACAUCUUGACGGUACCUAAUCAGAAAGCCACGGCUAACUACGUGCCAGCAGCCGCGGUAAUACGUAGGUGGCAAGCGUUAUCCGGAAUUAUUGGGCGUAAAGCGCGCGUAGGCGGUUUUUUAAGUCUGAUGUGAAAGCCCACGGCUCAACCGUGGAGGGUCAUUGGAAACUGGAAAACUUGAGUGCAGAAGAGGAAAGUGGAAUUCCAUGUGUAGCGGUGAAAUGCGCAGAGAUAUGGAGGAACACCAGUGGCGAAGGCGACUUUCUGGUCUGUAACUGACGCUGAUGUGCGAAAGCGUGGGGAUCAAACAGGAUUAGAUACCCUGGUAGUCCACGCCGUAAACGAUGAGUGCUAAGUGUUAGGGGGUUUCCGCCCCUUAGUGCUGCAGCUAACGCAUUAAGCACUCCGCCUGGGGAGUACGACCGCAAGGUUGAAACUCAAAGGAAUUGACGGGGACCCGCACAAGCGGUGGAGCAUGUGGUUUAAUUCGAAGCAACGCGAAGAACCUUACCAAAUCUUGACAUCCUUUGACAACUCUAGAGAUAGAGCCUUCCCCUUCGGGGGACAAAGUGACAGGUGGUGCAUGGUUGUCGUCAGCUCGUGUCGUGAGAUGUUGGGUUAAGUCCCGCAACGAGCGCAACCCUUAAGCUUAGUUGCCAUCAUUAAGUUGGGCACUCUAAGUUGACUGCCGGUGACAAACCGGAGGAAGGUGGGGAUGACGUCAAAUCAUCAUGCCCCUUAUGAUUUGGGCUACACACGUGCUACAAUGGACAAUACAAAGGGCAGCGAAACCGCGAGGUCAAGCAAAUCCCAUAAAGUUGUUCUCAGUUCGGAUUGUAGUCUGCAACUCGACUACAUGAAGCUGGAAUCGCUAGUAAUCGUAGAUCAGCAUGCUACGGUGAAUACGUUCCCGGGUCUUGUACACACCGCCCGUCACACCACGAGAGUUUGUAACACCCGAAGCCGGUGGAGUAACCUUUUAGGAGCUAGCCGUCGAAGGUGGGACAAAUGAUUGGGGUGAAGUCGUAACAAGGUAGCCGUAUCGGAAGGUGCGGCUGGAUCACCUCCUUU